This 257-nucleotide unclassified non-coding RNA is filed under the name Hevea brasiliensis (rubber tree). Lineage: Eukaryota; Viridiplantae; Streptophyta; Magnoliopsida; Malpighiales; Euphorbiaceae. The record is from RNAcentral.
GGAUGAUAUUUCGCCUCACGCCUCCCCUUGCCCCACAAACAUAUCAUCUUUUUUUUGAUGGCCUAUCAAGGAUAUAUUAUCAUACAUAUUAGGACACAACAAUUUAAAAAAUGGCCAAAUAAAAGGGGUUUGAAAAACGAGAACAUGAAUCAUAACUAAAACUAAGCAAAAUUUUUCCUAAAUGCUCAGCUUGUAACUCCACUUUCUGGUUGAGCUAAAACAAAUGCAUAGAAAUCAUAAUAAAUAAGCUGAACUAU